GGGGAUAAUUAUAGAAUUGACAUUUAUCU
This 29-nucleotide non-coding RNA is filed under the name Phytophthora x cambivora. The record is from RNAcentral. RNAcentral also lists the same sequence under 2 other names. Lineage: Eukaryota; Oomycota; Peronosporomycetes; Peronosporales; Peronosporaceae.